RNAcentral lists this ribosomal RNA (530 nucleotides) under uncultured bacterium. RNAcentral's name for it is "bacterial SSU rRNA". It matches the Rfam family "Bacterial small subunit ribosomal RNA", at positions 777 to 1304 of the family's 1533-position model. The record is from RNAcentral.
AAUAGAUACCCCGGUAGUCCACGCCGUAAACGAUGAGUGCUAAGUGUUAGAGGGUUUCCGCCCUUUAGUGCUGCAGCUAACGCAUUAAGCACUCCGCCUGGGGAGUACGGUCGCAAGACUGAAACUCAAAGGAAUUGACGGGGGCCCGCACAAGCGGUGGAGCAUGUGGUUUAAUUCGAAGCAACGCGAAGAACCUUACCAGGUCUUGACAUCCUCUGACAACUCUAGAGAUAGAGCGUUCCCCUUCGGGGGACAGAGUGACAGGUGGUGCAUGGUUGUCGUCAGCUCGUGUCGUGAGAUGUUGGGUUAAGUCCCGCAACGAGCGCAACCCUUGAUCUUAGUUGCCAGCAUUUAGUUGGGCACUCUAAGGUGACUGCCGGUGACAAACCGGAGGAAGGUGGGGAUGACGUCAAAUCAUCAUGCCCCCUUAUGACCUGGGCUACACACGUGCUACAAUGGAUGGUACAAAGGGCUGCAAGACCGCGAGGUCAAGCCAAUCCCAUAAAACCAUUCUCAGUUCGGAUUGUAGG